Molecule: long non-coding RNA, 733 nt
Organism: Daucus carota subsp. sativus
Lineage: Eukaryota; Viridiplantae; Streptophyta; Magnoliopsida; Apiales; Apiaceae
Exons: 2
Source: RefSeq, a predicted model, not a curated record
UUUGUAUCUGCAUCCUUCAGAUAAUCCUGGACAGAUAAUUGUUUCUGCUGCUCUCGAUGGAGAUAAUUUCAAUGAAUGGAAGCACUCCAUGACUCUGGCACUAUCUGCGAAGAACAAGCUUGGAUUUGUUACUGGAUUGAUGUCACUGUGGCAAUUUUGUAUGCCAUACUUUCCUCCGUCCUGGUUAUCUCGUCAUAUGUGACCCUUUACUUCCGACACUUUUGGCUUUCAUUUUUCAUUGUAUGCCUUGGUAUACUUCUUCCCAUUUGCUUGAGAAGUUCUAGGCAGGCACUCGCAAAAAAGAGGGAAAGAAGAAUGUUAUUACCGUUGUCCAUGUGAAAGUACGACCUACAGGUAGGCCAGUAAUUAUCCAUAUUCGCACACUAACUAAUAACUAUUGAGAAUACUGUGCUUCGUGUGCGACUCCCACAAGUUGAUUUUGGUCAAAAAUAGCCAUGGAAGCCUACUUCAGUAUAUGAGGUAUAGCUUAAAUCCCCUUUUCACUACCCAUACUCAGAUUUUUUCCGACGGUGGCCAACUCUUUCACCUGUAAACUCACACAUGCAAGAGAGCUAUAGAUUACCACAUUUGUCAUUUUUGUUCUCCUUUGGCCUGUAUCCCAAAUUGAUAUCAGGUUAUCAGUUUAAUUCUUUGUAUUAAACAGAUGAAAAUUUCAAAAUUUUCAUCCACAGAUGUAUCUUUUGGUUAAUUAUUUCAAGAUUUCGGGGGUGUA